UAGAGUUUGAUCCUGGCUCAGAUUGAACGCUGGCGGCAGGCCUAACACAUGCAAGUCGAACGGUAGCACAGAGAGCUUGCUCUCGGGUGACGAGUGGCGGACGGGUGAGUAAUGUCUGGGAAACUGCCUGAUGGAGGGGGAUAACUACUGGAAACGGUAGCUAAUACCGCAUAACGUCGCAAGACCAAAGAGGGGGACCUUCGGGCCUCUUGCCAUCAGAUGUGCCCAGAUGGGAUUAGCUAGUAGGUGGGGUAACGGCUCACCUAGGCGACGAUCCCUAGCUGGUCUGAGAGGAUGACCAGCCACACUGGAACUGAGACACGGUCCAGACUCCUACGGGAGGCAGCAGUGGGGAAUAUUGCACAAUGGGCGCAAGCCUGAUGCAGCCAUGCCGCGUGUAUGAAGAAGGCCUUCGGGUUGUAAAGUACUUUCAGCGGGGAGGAAGGUGUUGUGGUUAAUAACCGCAGCAAUUGACGUUACCCGCAGAAGAAGCACCGGCUAACUCCGUGCCAGCAGCCGCGGUAAUACGGAGGGUGCAAGCGUUAAUCGGAAUUACUGGGCGUAAGGCGCACGCAGGCGGUCUGUCAAGUCGGAUGUGAAAUCCCCGGGCUCAACCUGGGAACUGCAUUCGAAACUGGCAGGCUAGAGUCUUGUAGAGGGGGGUAGAAUUCCAGGUGUAGCGGUGAAAUGCGUAGAGAUCUGGAGGAAUACCGGUGGCGAAGGCGGCCCCCCUGGACAAAGACUGACGCUCAGGUGCGAAAGCGUGGGGAGCAAACAGGAUUAGAUACCCUGGUAGUCCACGCCGUAAACGAUGUCGACUUGGAGGUUGUGCCCUUGAGGCGUGGCUUCCGGAGCUAACGCGUUAAGUCGACCGCCUGGGGAGUACGGCCGCAAGGUUAAAACUCAAAUGAAUUGACGGGGGCCCGCACAAGCGGUGGAGCAUGUGGUUUAAUUCGAUGCAACGCGAAGAACCUUACCUACUCUUGACAUCCAGAGAACUUUCCAGAGAUGGAUUGGUGCCUUCGGGAACUCUGAGACAGGUGCUGCAUGGCUGUCGUCAGCUCGUGUUGUGAAAUGUUGGGUUAAGUCCCGCAACGAGCGCAACCCUUAUCCUUUGUUGCCAGCGGUCCGGCCGGGAACUCAAAGGAGACUGCCAGUGAUAAACUGGAGGAAGGUGGGGAUGACGUCAAGUCAUCAUGGCCCUUACGAGUAGGGCUACACACGUGCUACAAUGGUGCAUACAAAGAGAAGCGACCUCGCGAGAGCAAGCGGACCUCAUAAAGUGCGUCGUAGUCCGGAUUGGAGUCUGCAACUCGACUCCAUGAAGUCGGAAUCGCUAGUAAUCGUAGAUCAGAAUGCUACGGUGAAUACGUUCCCGGGCCUUGUACACACCGCCCGUCACACCAUGGGAGUGGGUUGCAAAAGAAGUAGGUAGCUUAACCUUCGGGAGGGCGCUUACCACUUUGUGAUUCAUGACUGGGGUGAAGUCGUAACAAGGUAGCCGUAA
This 1507-nucleotide ribosomal RNA is filed under the name Pantoea sp. IWF25. RNAcentral describes it as "bacterial SSU rRNA". It matches the Rfam family "Bacterial small subunit ribosomal RNA". Lineage: Bacteria; Pseudomonadati; Pseudomonadota; Gammaproteobacteria; Enterobacterales; Erwiniaceae. The record is from RNAcentral.